CCAACUCUUGGGUACCUCAAGAUUUGAAGAUUUCCGACCCAUGUCAAGCGACAGCAGGCGAACAAGUUUGAGGUUAAGUCCUUUAGGGCUUGUUUUAUAGGGUAUCCUAAGAAAAUCAUAGGAUACUAUUUCUAUCUUUCUGAGGAUCACAAUGUAAUUAUGAGCCACCAUGCCAUCUUUUUAAAAAAAGAGUUUAUCCAAAAUGGAGGCAGU
Molecule: long non-coding RNA, 213 nt
Filed under: Elaeis guineensis (African oil palm)
Lineage: Eukaryota; Viridiplantae; Streptophyta; Magnoliopsida; Arecales; Arecaceae
Description: long non-coding RNA (EGUI_LNC077979)
Source: RNAcentral